This 206-nucleotide unclassified non-coding RNA is filed under the name Hevea brasiliensis (rubber tree). Lineage: Eukaryota; Viridiplantae; Streptophyta; Magnoliopsida; Malpighiales; Euphorbiaceae. The record is from RNAcentral.
GGAAUACAAAAAGUUAUUGACUUAUGCUGAAAUCAUCUCCUUAUCAUCUUUCGUCUUUAUAAAAGGAAAACUGUGAGACUAUCUAGGAAAAAUUGGAUUGCCUUUGUAACAUAUAUGCCAGAUUAGAUCUAUUGUUAAUGAUUGUCAUUCUAAUGAUGAGUUCCCAUGUAGCUCUCUUUGAUUGACCGAAAUUGUUUGCAGGUUCA